This 468-nucleotide ribosomal RNA is filed under the name uncultured bacterium. RNAcentral describes it as "partial 16S ribosomal RNA". It matches the Rfam family "Bacterial small subunit ribosomal RNA", at positions 28 to 507 of the family's 1533-position model. The record is from RNAcentral.
GACGAACGCUGGCGGCGUGCUUAACACAUGCAAGUCGAACGGACGGGCCCUGCUUUUGUGGGGUGCUCGUUUGCCGAACGGGUGUGUAACACGUGAGUAACCCCUCCUUGACUUUCUGGUAACUUCACGAAACUCCGGCUAUUAUCCGAUAGAACCUCCUGCUCCAUGUGGGGGGUUGAAAAGUUUCGGCGGUGGGGGUUGGACUAGCUGGUUAUCAGCUUCUUGGGCGGGUAGUGGGUUACCAAGCGUUUGACGGGUACCCCGCCUGAGAGGGUGACCGGUCACACUAGGACUGAGGUAAGGACCAGACUGGUACGGGAGGCAACAGUGGGGAACAUUGCACAAUGGGGGGAAGCGUGAUGCAGAAACGCCGGGUGCGUGAUGACGGGCUUCGGGUUGUAAACCGCUUUCGCAUGUGACGAAGCCGGAGUGACGGUAAUGGGUAAAAAAGCACCGGCUAACUACGUG